CAGACGCUUGGAGUAAAUGCGAAAAGGGAGUGUGGGAUGAUGUGAGUGGGAGCUGUGGAUGGGUUCAAGGGUGCUGAAUCCUGGCUUGACUCACCCUUCCAGCUUCUGCUCUAACUCUCAAUGCCUUUGUCUGCAUGCUGGGAAAUCCCUGGGUGCCCAGGUUAAACCCCAACCCUAAAAGGCACGUAGACACUUCUCCUGAGCUUUGAGUUGCUUCAUUCUGCCCAGCAGCUUCCUGAAAAUGUAGUCUUGCCACACCAGAGGAAGGAUAGACCCACAGCUGUGGGGGACCCUGUGUCAGCAGGAUUUACUAGCGAGUGAGCUGGGGCUGCAACAGCACAUAGUUCAUUAUGCAGGUCUGGAAAACAACAACAACAACAACAACAGCAGCAGCAGCAGCAGCACCACCACCACCACCACCACCAGCACCAGCAGCAGCCAGGAGAAAAGCAGGGGUUAGUUUGGGGGGUUGAAAUGGGAAAAAGUAGACAUUUCCAGCUCCCAACAUCUUAUUUCCCAAGUAUCUUUGGAGCCCUAGAAAAUGGCUCGGAGCUGCCUUUGCAGUUUUGAAGCCUCGCUUGGGUUCCCAUCAGCCCCUGGGCCUCUGAUUGCAGCCUGGGGAGCACCUCUGCACUCCCAGCCUCCU
RNAcentral lists this long non-coding RNA (646 nucleotides) under Piliocolobus tephrosceles (Ugandan red Colobus). RNAcentral describes it as "lncRNA (ENSPTEG00000034232.1)". The record is from RNAcentral. Lineage: Eukaryota; Metazoa; Chordata; Mammalia; Primates; Cercopithecidae.